RNAcentral lists this long non-coding RNA (514 nucleotides) under Salmo salar (Atlantic salmon). RNAcentral's name for it is "lncRNA (ENSSSAG00000096995.1)". Lineage: Eukaryota; Metazoa; Chordata; Actinopteri; Salmoniformes; Salmonidae. The record is from RNAcentral.
AUCUCUACUGGUAUUAUGUAUUAUACUAUAAGGAAGGCCCACCCCAUCUCUACUGGUAUUAUACUAUAAGGAAGGCUCACCCCAUCUCUACUGGUAUUAUGUAUUAUACUAUAAGUAAGGCCCACCCCAUCUCUACUGGUAUUACACUAUAAGGAAGGCCCACCCCAUCUCUACUGGUAUUAUGUAUUAUACUUUAAGCAAGGCCCACCCCAUCUCUACUGGAAUUAUGUAUUAUACUAUAAGGAAGGACCACCCAAUCUCUACUAUUAUUAUACUAUAAGGAAGGCUCACCCCAUCUCUACUGGUAUUAUGUAUUAUACUAUAAGUAAGGCCCACCCCAUCUCUACUGGUAUUACACUAUAAGGAAGGCCCACCCCAUCUCUACUGGUAUUAUGUAUUAUACUAUAAGGAAGGACCACCCAAUCUCUACUAUUAUUAUACUAUAAGGAAGGCCCACCCCAUCUCUACUGGUAUUAUACUAUAAGGAAGGCUCACCCCAUCUCUACUGGUAUUA